GAUGAACGCUGGCGGCGUGCCUAAUACAUGCCAGUCGAGCGAACAGAUGAGGAGCUUGCUCCUCUGACGUUAGCGGCGGAAGGGUGAGUAGCACGUGGAUAAACUAGCUAUAAGACUGGGAUAACUUCGGGAAACCGGAGUUAAUACCGGAAAAUAUAUUGAACCGAAUGGUUCCAUAGUAAGAGACGGUUUUGAUGUAACUAAUAGAUGGAACCGCGCAGCAUUAGGUAGGUGGUAAGGUAACGGCCACGCACGGCAACGAUGGGUAGCCGACCGGGGAGAGUGAUAGCCGACGCGGGAACGGAGACGCGGACCAUAGGACUACGAGAGGCAGCAGUAUGGUAUCUUCCGCAGUGGCCGCAAACCUGACGGAGCGACACCGAGUGAGUGACGAAGGCCUCCGGAGCGUAAAACUCAGUUAUUAGUGGAGAACUAAUAUGUAAGUGACUGAGCACGUCUUGACGGUACCUAAACAAGAAGCCCCGGCUAACUACGUG
RNAcentral lists this ribosomal RNA (497 nucleotides) under uncultured bacterium. RNAcentral's name for it is "partial 16S ribosomal RNA". It matches the Rfam family "Bacterial small subunit ribosomal RNA", at positions 28 to 507 of the family's 1533-position model. The record is from RNAcentral.